GAUUUUAUUGGUCAUGGAUGGACUCGCGGCCUAUCAGCUUGUUGGUGAGGUAAUGGCUUACCAAGGCGACGACGGGUAGCCGGCCUGAGAGGGUGACCGGCCACACUGGGACUGAGACACGGCCCAGACUCCUACGGGAGGCAGCAGUGGGGAAUAUUGCACAAUGGGCGCAAGCCUGAUGCAGCGACGCCGCGUGAGGGAUGACGGCCUUCGGGUUGUAAACCUCUUUCAGUAGGGAACAAGGCUAGUCGUUGACUGGUUGAGGGUACUUGCAGAAGAAGCGCCGGCUAACUACG
RNAcentral lists this ribosomal RNA (296 nucleotides) under Arthrobacter sp. 4(2010). RNAcentral's name for it is "partial 16S ribosomal RNA". It matches the Rfam family "Bacterial small subunit ribosomal RNA", at positions 206 to 505 of the family's 1533-position model. Lineage: Bacteria; Bacillati; Actinomycetota; Actinomycetes; Micrococcales; Micrococcaceae. The record is from RNAcentral.